UGUUAAAAAUUCUAUUUGUUUGUACUGUUAAAAGGUGACAUGCUCGACAAAAUAAUCAGACAAUAACAUUUGGGUUGUCAUAUGUACAUCAUGCAAGUGUAUAACGACCGGUUAGUAAAAAUGGAUGCAAUUUUUAACA
This is a non-coding RNA of Gossypium hirsutum (cotton), 139 nucleotides long. NCBI's taxonomy places the organism in Eukaryota, Viridiplantae, Streptophyta, Magnoliopsida, Malvales, Malvaceae. The record is from Rfam.